This 1592-nucleotide ribosomal RNA is filed under the name Escherichia coli. RNAcentral's name for it is "partial 23S ribosomal RNA". It matches the Rfam family "Bacterial large subunit ribosomal RNA", at positions 1227 to 2801 of the family's 2925-position model. The record is from RNAcentral. Lineage: Bacteria; Pseudomonadati; Pseudomonadota; Gammaproteobacteria; Enterobacterales; Enterobacteriaceae.
GGUAGGGGAGCGUUCUGUAAGCCUGUGAAGGUGGCCUGUGAGGGUUGCUGGAGGUAUCAGAAGUGCGAAUGCUGACAUAAGUAACGAUAAAGCGGGUGAAAAGCCCGCUCGCCGGAAGACCAAGGGUUCCUGUCCAACGUUAAUCGGGGCAGGGUGAGUCGACCCCUAAGGCGAGGCCGAAAGGCGUAGUCGAUGGGAAACAGGUUAAUAUUCCUGUACUUGGUGUUACUGCGAAGGGGGGACGGAGAAGGCUAUGUUGGCCGGGCGACGGUUGUCCCGGUUUAAGCGUGUAGGCUGAUUUUCCAGGCAAAUCCGGAAAAUCAAGGCUGAGGCGUGAUGACGAGGCACUACGGUGCUGAAGCAACAAAUGCCCUGCUUCCAGGAAAAGCCUCUAAGCAUCAGGUAACAUCAAAUCGUACCCCAAACCGACACAGGUGGUCAGGUAGAGAAUACCAAGGCGCUUGAGAGAACUCGGGUGAAGGAACUAGGCAAAAUGGUGCCGUAACUUCGGGAGAAGGCACGCUGAUAUGUAGGUGAAGCGACUUGCUCGUGGAGCUGAAAUCAGUCGAAGAUACCAGCUGGCUGCAACUGUUUAUUAAAAACACAGCACUGUGCAAACACGAAAGUGGACGUAUACGGUGUGACGCCUGCCCGGUGCCGGAAGGUUAAUUGAUGGGGUUAGCGGUAACGCGAAGCUCUUGAUCGAAGCCCCGGUAAACGGCGGCCGUAACUAUAACGGUCCUAAGGUAGCGAAAUUCCUUGUCGGGUAAGUUCCGACCUGCACGAAUGGCGUAAUGAUGGCCAGGCUGUCUCCACCCGAGACUCAGUGAAAUUGAACUCGCUGUGAAGAUGCAGUGUACCCGCGGCAAGACGGAAAGACCCCGUGAACCUUUACUAUAGCUUGACACUGAACAUUGAGCCUUGAUGUGUAGGAUAGGUGGGAGGCUUUGAAGUGUGGACGCCAGUCUGCAUGGAGCCGACCUUGAAAUACCACCCUUUAAUGUUUGAUGUUCUAACGUUGGCCCGUUAUCCGGGUUGCGGACAGUGUCUGGUGGGUAGUUUGACUGGGGCGGUCUCCUCCUAAAGAGUAACGGAGGAGCACGAAGGUUGGCUAAUCCUGGUCGGACAUCAGGAGGUUAGUGCAAUGGCAUAAGCCAGCUUGACUGCGAGCGUGACGGCGCGAGCAGGUGCGAAAGCAGGUCAUAGUGAUCCGGUGGUUCUGAAUGGAAGGGCCAUCGCUCAACGGAUAAAAGGUACUCCGGGGAUAACAGGCUGAUACCGCCCAAGAGUUCAUAUCGACGGCGGUGUUUGGCACCUCGAUGUCGGCUCAUCACAUCCUGGGGCUGAAGUAGGUCCCAAGGGUAUGGCUGUUCGCCAUUUAAAGUGGUACGCGAGCUGGGUUUAGAACGUCGUGAGACAGUUCGGUCCCUAUCUGCCGUGGGCGCUGGAGAACUGAGGGGGGCUGCUCCUAGUACGAGAGGACCGGAGUGGACGCAUCACUGGUGUUCGGGUUGUCAUGCCAAUGGCACUGCCCGGUAGCUAAAUGCGGAAGAGAUAAGUGCUGAAAGCAUCUAAGCACGAAACUUGCCCCG